RNAcentral lists this ribosomal RNA (254 nucleotides) under uncultured bacterium. RNAcentral describes it as "partial 16S ribosomal RNA". It matches the Rfam family "Bacterial small subunit ribosomal RNA", at positions 524 to 776 of the family's 1533-position model. The record is from RNAcentral.
UACAGGAGGGUGCAAGCGUUAAUCGGAUUUACUGGGCGUAAAGCGCGCGUAGGCGGCUAAUUAAGUCAAAUGUGAAAUCCCCGAGCUUAACUUGGGAAUUGCAUUCGAUACUGGUUAGCUAGAGUGUGGGGAGAGGAUGGUAGAAUUCCAGGUGUAGCGGUGAAAUGCGUAGAGAUCGGAGGAAUACCGAUGGCGAAGGCAGCCAUCUGGCCUAACACUGACGCUGAGGUGCGAAAGCAUGGGGAGCAAACAGG